RNAcentral lists this ribosomal RNA (253 nucleotides) under uncultured bacterium. RNAcentral describes it as "partial 16S ribosomal RNA". It matches the Rfam family "Bacterial small subunit ribosomal RNA", at positions 524 to 776 of the family's 1533-position model. The record is from RNAcentral.
UACGGAGGGUGCAAGCAUUGAUCGGAAUUACUGGGCGUAAAGGGUGCGUAGGCGGUCGGGUAAGUCUGAUGUGAAAUCUCACAGCUUAACUGUGAAACUGCAUUGGAUACUAUCCGGCUCGAGGAAUGGAGGGGAGACUGGAAUACUUGGUGUAGCAGUGAAAUGCGUAGAUAUCAAGUGGAACACCAGUGGCGAAGGCGAGUCUCUGGACAUUUCCUGACGCUGAGGUACGAAAGCCAGGGGAGCAAACGGG